RNAcentral lists this ribosomal RNA (631 nucleotides) under Entoloma nitidum. Its description in RNAcentral is "eukaryotic LSU rRNA". It matches the Rfam family "Eukaryotic large subunit ribosomal RNA", at positions 1 to 621 of the family's 3401-position model. Lineage: Eukaryota; Fungi; Basidiomycota; Agaricomycetes; Agaricales; Entolomataceae. The record is from RNAcentral.
UUGACCUCAAAUCAGGUAGGACUACCCGCUGAACUUAAGCAUAUCAAUAAGCGGAGGAAAAGAAACUAACAAGGAUUCCCCUAGUAACUGCGAGUGAAGCGGGAAAAGCUCAAAUUUAAAAUCUGGUAGUCUUUGGCUGCCCGAGUUGUAAUCUAGAGAAGUGUUAUCCGUGCUGGACCGUGUACAAGUCUCCUGGAAUGGAGCGUCAUAGAGGGUGAGAAUCCCGUCUUUGACACGGACUACCAGUGCAUUGUGAUGCGCUCUCAAAGAGUCGAGUUGUUUGGGAAUGCAGCUCUAAAUGGGUGGUAAAUUCCAUCUAAAGCUAAAUAUUGGCGAGAGACCGAUAGCGAACAAGUACCGUGAGGGAAAGAUGAAAAGAACUUUGGAAAGAGAGUUAAACAGUACGUGAAAUUGUUGAAAGGGAAACGCUUGAAGUCAGUCGCGUUGGCCAGGGAUCAACCUUGCUUUUGCUUGGCGUACUUCCUGGUUAACGGGUCAGCAUCAAUUUUGACCAGUGGAUAAAGGUCAAGGGAAUGUGGCAUCUUCGGAUGUGUUAUAGCCCUUGGUUGCAUACACUGAUUGGGAUUGAGGAACUCAGCACGCCGCAAGGCCGGGUUUUUAACCACGUUCG